This 1059-nucleotide long non-coding RNA is filed under the name Homo sapiens (human). RNAcentral describes it as "HSALNT0128328". The record is from RNAcentral. Lineage: Eukaryota; Metazoa; Chordata; Mammalia; Primates; Hominidae.
CCCACGUGUUGAGGGAGAAACUCAGUGGGAGGUAAUUAGAUCAUGGGAGUGGUUUUCUCCCUUGCUAUUUUCGUGAGAGUGAGUGAGUUCUCGCAAGAGCUGUUGGUUUUAUAAGGGGCUCUUCCCUAUACACUCUUCUCUCUCCCGCCACUUUGUGAAGAAGGUGCCUGCUUCCCCUUCUGCCAUGAUUGUAAGUUUCCUGAGGCCUCCGAGCUAUGCAGAACUCUGACACCUUGUGUGGAAUUAAAGAAUGCAGAGAAUCAGUAUUAACUCUCGGGAUCCUGGACCUAGUGUAAAUGGAGCUCUCUACGAACUCUUCAGGAGUCCCUCAACUUACCCAUCAAAAUGUUUUACAGAUUGCAUCAUCUUGAGAUGAGCAGCUGCUUCAUCUUUGGUAAGAAGAAUGCAGUUCCAGGGGGACCACUCCAGGGAUUUAUUCCAUCUGACCAUGACCAGAUCACUGAGAUUGUCGCAAGCACUGAGGACUGACUGGGACGCCCAGAUGUUCUCUGUCAGGAGAAAUCUGACUAAUACAACAUGGAAUAUUGAGCCAGCACUUCUUGGUGACUUACAUUAAAGCCCUAGUACAUCUAAGAUUCUCUACAAGGAAAUAUACAUCUGUCAUGUCAAUAAUUCCUGAAUAAAAGUAGCAAAUAAGAAUUUAAGCUGAAAUAAACAUCAAAUUUAUUAACAAAAUAUUCAUUCUAUUGGACAAAAUAUGUAAUCAUUUUAAUUUGUGCUUUUCAAACUGUGGGUUGCUACCUCUUGGGUGAUACCAAAGUUUUCCAAAUGGAAAUCAGAAUAAGUAGACUGAGAUUGAAUAGAAAAUAUCAGAGUACAUCCAUAGGGGUAAAGAUAAACACUAUUUUGGAAACUUUUAUUUCUGAGGCAGAACAGCAUGUGUUUACAUGUACGGAUGCUGGGAAUCAGACUGCCUAGUUUUCAAUCCUGGUGCUGGUACUUAGUAGCGUAAACUUGGACAAGUUAGUUAACCACUCAGUGCUUCCCUUUCCUCACCUGCAGAAUGGAAAUAAUGCCUAUUUUGAUAGGAUUUUUGUG